RNAcentral lists this unclassified non-coding RNA (376 nucleotides) under Hevea brasiliensis (rubber tree). Lineage: Eukaryota; Viridiplantae; Streptophyta; Magnoliopsida; Malpighiales; Euphorbiaceae. The record is from RNAcentral.
GGUAUUUGAGUUGUCAGCCUCCAAGCCAAUUCAAAGUUCUCUUUUGCAGUCUUGAGGAGAGGAAUGAGGCGGCGAUCAUUGAGUUGGCUAUGAACUCCAUGGCCUUCUUAUUUCUACCAUGCAGCUCUCCUUGCUAAAAACAAUAAACACGCAGAGCAUCCAAAAGAAAAAUGUAAAUUAAGAAUUCAAAGGAGGGUAGUUUGAGAAGGUGCGAAAACUUACACGAGGAGUAUACAAGUGAAGAAGAUUAAGUAAAGUGGAGAAGGGUUCUUCAUAUAUUGUCUCAGCAUCUUUGCUCAGUGCAGGAAUCCGACACUUGCAAAUAAGAAGAGAUAGGAAAGAGAGGAAGGCCGUGGCAGGUGGUCGGAGAGGAGAG